UGCAGGUGUGUACUAAGUAACCGUGGGCACGGUUACGAACGGUUUUAUAAAGUUCUAUUUAUAGUAUGGUAACAAAAGAAUAAAAAAAAAGUAACGAUAUUUCAAUGUAUUUUCCUCUGAACACUUGAAAUUUUUACUACUUGUAAGUGUAGAGUUUUACUUUCUUAUCUCCCUAUCGUAAGCCAAUGAAAUUGAAAGUAACGCGUUUCAUCUCGACGCCGCAGGUGCCAAGUACGUCCUGAAGCUUGUCGACGAAGCCAUCGCCCGAACGGUCGCGGUGCUCGCAAUUCUGAACUCCCAACGAAUUCACCGAAGAGAGCCACUGGAUUCUGACUAGUCUUCGACUUCUGCUGUCAAUUUUCUGAUUGUCGGACACAACGAGUGGUUCAGGCUGACAUUAGGGCGCUGUGGACGGCGGUCGCCUUGACUCUAGCUUACAAUUAGUCUGACAUGCCGGUGAAAGAGUUACAUACACGACAGCAUUCACCACAAAGGGAAAGAUAUGUGUAUGGGAUCAUUCGUUCUUAAUUGAGCGUGAGAAUCCGCGUGUACAAGAAAUAGAGCGUUAACGUCGGGCAGGCUAUCUGUAAUUAGUCUGGGCAAAACGUGGCAACUCCGGGCACGUGAAACUAGAUGCAAUUUGUACUCGUUAAAUUACUAUUAUUCCUGUACGACAAUAUACACGUAUUCCUUUGACUGGAGCUUUUUUAACGGCAUUUGUUACAUCACCUACAAAAUGGAAGAAACAAUUCACCGUGGCCACUGAGAUAAAUACUCCGGUUGCAAGUCGUAGGAUAACGCUGGUGUGCAGAUACGUGCUGGACAAGAUAUUACGGAUUACAGAAGCUCAACUCUGAACGAAAGAAGAAGAACCUCAAACUUCACUGCAGAUGCUAAACUCCGCUGGACCCGAGACGCUGUUACAUUGACAAACGUCACGUAAUCGUGUGAAUAUUCAUGGGACGUUGAUUGUGGGCAUAGGUCUGGAUUUUGGACGGACUUCGUGCCGUUGUGUGACCAUCGCAAAUCCGCGGGUCCGUUUCUGUGGAUUCAGUGCGUGCAGCGUGAGGAGGGUCAGACCCAAGUCGUGGAACUGUUUUCUAAUGCACGCAUAAAUGGUUAAGAUUCAAGGUUAAACCGCGGAGGUUAAGAGUUAGGGGAAUCCUUUCAUGCCAGGCUUGAUCUGGUCGGCUAUCCGGCUAACACAAGAAAAAGAUUCCUGUGACGAAAAAAGGUCAUGGGCGCCUGUGAUCGUUAUCUCUCGUGUGUAUUAAACGUUAUGGCGAUUAUAAUAUCUACGGUAAUUGUUCUCGGUCUGUUACCGUUUUCUCGAGGGAGGCAGAACUUCGCACUCACAAACAUGUGUUUCAGGUGUAAUUAACGAUAAGCGGGGAUCAGAACUUUGCUCGCUUACUCAUCUCAGGGCUUGGGCGGUACGUGAAAGUGACUCUAGUCGCUGAUUAAUACGUCGAAAAGCCUGCAGUAUUUGUUGCGUUUCUGCUAACAACUGUAGAACUAAUUUCUCAAAGCGCUAACUGCGCAGAUGUAACUUAAAAACACAGUGUAAACCGUUCUGCAGUUCGUGGGAGAGAAUUACUUUCAAAUUAAUCGUGAUGCAUGUUUUGCACCUUGGCGUUGUUUUUCCGGGUGUCGACGGGAAUUUUCUUCAGCGUACCGUCCCGUCGUUCGCAAACGUCAAAUGUGAAAUGAAUCGAUAAGUAAAAAAUAAAUUUAUCCGAUUUCAAUUAAGUGGCUGCACCGUGUCAUUUGCGUGGGGGUGAGUCACGGUCAGUGUAAUUGCGAGUUGAUUACGGGAUGAUUACGAGGUUGGACGCGUUAUUCAAACUGCGUUAUGUGGUAGUAGGAUAGCUUGAAGCUCGUUAACGCCGUGACGGUUCUUUUGUUUUUUUUCCUUUUAUUUCUUUUUUUUUUACAUUUUUGCAACGUGCGAUCCUUGCCGACAACUUCCCGCGUCGUCGGUAAAAUUUUUACACCAGCACUGCAAAGUGUAGUGAUCGUCGGUGUGUGCAUCUCGUUAAAACUUUCCGAAUAACUAGAAAAAGUGAAAAGGAAAGAAAAUUAAUGAAAAGAAGAGUGGGGGAAGAAAAAGGAAGAAACAAUAGAAAACUCUGGUUCUAUUUUAAUUAUAGUAUUAAUGAAGGCUCGACAGUGAAAAAAUGUCUGAGGGAAUCGUUGAAUAGGUACGUCUCGCUACCAAAUUAAUGGUUGAUAUAGCACACGCUCAUUUGUAUAUUAAUCAGGUUUAUUCUCAGUAAUCAGUAUUAUAAUGCUCAAUCGGAUGCUACGAAAUAGAAUUCAUUCGCGAAAUCAUAUUACA
Neodiprion virginianus is the source of this 2338-nucleotide long non-coding RNA. RefSeq lists it as uncharacterized. The transcript is spliced from 3 exons. NCBI's taxonomy places the organism in Eukaryota, Metazoa, Arthropoda, Insecta, Hymenoptera, Diprionidae. The record is from RefSeq and is a predicted model, not a curated record.